Molecule: long non-coding RNA, 1371 nt
Filed under: Equus caballus (horse)
Lineage: Eukaryota; Metazoa; Chordata; Mammalia; Perissodactyla; Equidae
Description: lncRNA (ENSECAG00000057083.1)
Source: RNAcentral
GCUGAGAAGCCUCUGAGGCCAGGCAGCCCUCUUUAGCUCUGCCGUGGUCAGUCUGCAACUGGAGUUCCUGGCUUUCAGUUUCCAGCAGUUCUGGAGCUCUCCCUUUCAGGAGCCCUCUCUGCAGAGGGCCCGAGGCCUUCGCAGCCGCAUCCGGGGGGAUGGCCCAGCACUGAGCCCCGAUGACUGGCCUGGAGCGCAGCUGACCUCAGACUCAAACCUCCACAAGGCCGCAGACAGCAGAGAGCAGGGCAAGCCCCAGACUGCACGGCUGGGACCCCAAGAUAGACAUUACAAGAAGGCGGCCUUUCCCCACAAUAAGGAAGCCCUGUGUAAAGCUGCAGAUGGGGCUCCUGUAAAGGAGCUCACGUCCUUUCUCUGGGAGACUGCAAGCAGGGGCAGAACAUUCUGGAAAAGAAGCCUCAGUGGGAAGUUGGAGUCAGUCGACUUUGCAGUCCCACUCGAGGUGGUCAGAUCUGGGUCCAUGGCUGGGCUGAGUUAACUUACAGAGGGAGGGAGGGUCCCAGCCUGCAGGCGCAGCCUCAAAGCCUCCUGCCCUGCAGGGCAUUCCCAAGCAGCUUUUAUCUGGGGCUUUGAAGGGAGAACAAUAAUCCCACGCUUCAACCAAAACAUCUUGUAGUGGGGCCUCAGCCUUUGAACACACCCUUGAUCCUUCCCGCCACCCUGAGGCUCCUGGGGACUCCUCGGCUGGAAGUGGGGGGCGGUGGAGGCUUGCCCAACACCUGCCCCAGCCCCAGCUGGGGUGCCUCAGGCCCCUGUCAGGAGCAACUGGCAGCUGGGACCAUCUGAUCUGCUUUCCCGUCGCUUGGAAUCCUCUGUAACAGCCGUGACUUCCUGGGGGUCCAUAAAGGAACUGCAAGAGACCACGGUCGCCUGGAUGCCUCUCCAAGAUGUCAUCUUAGGAGCAGUGACAUUUCAGAUGAAGCCAUUUAGUCUCCAUCAGCCAGUGAGACAGUGUGCACAAGUCCAGUGAAUAAGCCUCCAGCUCUGGCUUGAAAUAAAGCGGAGACACCUCUACCUGAUGGGAUGCGGAGACUGCUAACUCCUCUGACUUUUAAGGUCCCUGGACCAGAGCUCUCAGAGCAGGUUUGCUAACUGGAGGUGUUGAAGCUAAGGCAAAGUGAUCUCUUGUAAAAGAUACCACAGAGAGGGCUUCUAGCUGGGGACACACACACACACACACACACACACUCACUCCUGGGACAAGUUCCCUUCUAGGACAUGAACCCUAUCUGAUUCCACUUGGUACUCCUAGUACUGAGUUCAGGGCCUACACAAGGCAGUUGCUCAAUAAAGAAUUGGCGAUGCAUGAAUGAGGAAACGAAAGAAUAAACACUCAUAAAAGCCACUGAG